CCUACGGGAGGCAGCAGUAAGGAAUAUUGGUCAAUGGACGCAAGUCUGAACCAGCCAUGCCGCGUGAAGGAUUAAGGCCCUCUGGGUUGUAAACUUCUUUUAUAGGGGGCGAAAAAAGGGCAUUCUUGCUCACUUGACGGUACCCUAGGAAUAAGCACCGGCUAACUCCGUGCCAGCAGCCGCGGUAAUACGGAGGGUGCAAGCGUUAUCCGGAUUUACUGGGUUUAAAGGGUGCGUAGGUGGGUUGGUAAGUCAGCGGUGAAAUCUUCGAGCUUAACUCGGAAACUGCCAUUGAUACUAUCAAUCUUGAAUCAUCUAGAGGUAAGCGGAAUAUGUCAUGUAGCGGUGAAAUGCUUAGAUAUGACAUAGAACACCAAUUGCGAAGGCAGCUUACUAUGGAUGUAUUGACACUGAGGCACGAAAGCGUGGGGAUCAAACAGGAUUAGAUACCCUGGUAGUCCACGCCUAACGACUAGAUACUCACAUUAUGUAUAUAUAUAGUAGUNUGNGNGAAGACGAUAAGUAUACCGACCGUACGGAAGGUAACGUACCGACGAGUUAGUAACGUUACGAAAGAAGUUAGUUAGGCGUGAGACGAGCGACGGACGACGACGAGGGAGGAGG
Molecule: ribosomal RNA, 624 nt
Filed under: uncultured bacterium
Lineage: Bacteria
Description: bacterial SSU rRNA
Rfam family: Bacterial small subunit ribosomal RNA (bases 1-533)
Source: RNAcentral